GAAACUGUUAAUAAACAAAAUUAAGAGUUACCAGACAACACAACAAAUUUAAUAAAAUAAAAUUCUUGUUACAGUCAUAUUUGUAUUUUGAAGUUCCAGAUAUCAGUGUAUGUUAAUUUUUUAAUAAGUUGAUACAGGUGAAUAUUAAAGUUUCACACAAAAUGAGACGAUUACAAGGAACUUUUGGACCCAGAGAUCCUGAAGAAGAAAAGAAGAAGAGCAGAGAAUCAGUAUUAGCAAGUUUCGUCAUUUACGGAACGUUGUGUAUGAUCAUUAGAAGUGCUCCCUACAUCAUAGACCAUUUCUUCUAAGUUCCUUUUGCAGUAACAACCAAUGAUGAACUGAAAAGUUGAAUGUUGUGAUACUUUUAUACAAUUUACAUUAUUUGUGAAAGUAUAAUUAAAAUGUUAGUUGUCUGCAAUUGAUUAAUUUAAUAUUGCAAAAUAAAUGUGAUUCAUUCUGUUUUAAAUAAAUAUUGAAUAAAAAUGUGCUGACUA
Aethina tumida (small hive beetle) is the source of this 497-nucleotide long non-coding RNA. RefSeq lists it as uncharacterized. The record is from RefSeq and is a predicted model, not a curated record. Lineage: Eukaryota; Metazoa; Arthropoda; Insecta; Coleoptera; Nitidulidae. The transcript is spliced from 3 exons.